RNAcentral lists this ribosomal RNA (385 nucleotides) under uncultured soil bacterium. RNAcentral's name for it is "bacterial SSU rRNA". It matches the Rfam family "Bacterial small subunit ribosomal RNA", at positions 26 to 415 of the family's 1533-position model. The record is from RNAcentral.
AGAUUGAACGCUGGCGGAAUGCUUUACACAUGCAAGCCGAACGGCAGCACGGGGGCAACCCUGGUGGCGAGUGGCGCACGGGUGAGUAAUACAUCGGAACGUAUCCUAGAGUGGGGGAUAGCCCGGCGAAAAGCCGGAUUAAUACCGCAUACGCUCGAAAGAGGAAAGUGGGGGAUCGUAAGACCUCACGCCCAAGGAGCGGCCGAUGCCGGAUUAGCUUGUUGGUGAGGUAAAAGCUCACCAAGGCGACGAUCCGUAGCUGGUCUGAGAGGACGACCAGCCACACUGGGACUGAGACACGGCCCAGACUCCUACGGGAGGCAGCAGUGGGAAUUUGGACAAGUGGGGGAAACCCUGAUCAGCCAUCCGCGUGAGUGAAGAGGCC